Molecule: ribosomal RNA, 429 nt
Filed under: Acidobacteriota bacterium
Lineage: Bacteria; Pseudomonadati; Acidobacteriota
Description: Acidobacteria bacterium partial 16S ribosomal RNA
Rfam family: Bacterial small subunit ribosomal RNA
Source: RNAcentral
UGGGGAAUUUUGGACAAUGGGGGAAACCCUGAUCCAGCCAUCCCGCGUGUGCGAUGAAGGCCUUCGGGUUGUAAAGCACUUUUGGCAGGAAAGAAACGUCAUGGGUUAAUACCCCGUGAAACUGACGGUACCUGCAGAAUAAGCACCGGCUAACUACGUGCCAGCAGCCGCGGUAAUACGUAGGGUGCAAGCGUUAAUCGGAAUUACUGGGCGUAAAGCGUGCGCAGGCGGUUCGGAAAGAAAGAUGUGAAAUCCCAGAGCUCAACUUUGGAACUGCAUUUUUAACUACCGGGCUAGAGUGUGUCAGAGGGAGGUGGAAUUCCGCGUGUAGCAGUGAAAUGCGUAGAUAUGCGGAGGAACACAGAUGGCGAAGGCAGCCUCCUGGGAUAACACUGACGCUCAUGCACGAAAGCGUGGGGAGCAAACAGG